UGCUCCAUAAAUGGUGACCUAAUGAAU
Molecule: non-coding RNA, 27 nt
Filed under: Homo sapiens (human)
Lineage: Eukaryota; Metazoa; Chordata; Mammalia; Primates; Hominidae
Source: RNAcentral